Molecule: ribosomal RNA, 425 nt
Filed under: uncultured Delftia sp.
Lineage: Bacteria; Pseudomonadati; Pseudomonadota; Betaproteobacteria; Burkholderiales; Comamonadaceae
Description: bacterial SSU rRNA
Rfam family: Bacterial small subunit ribosomal RNA
Source: RNAcentral
GGGGAAUUUUGGACAAUGGGCGAAAGCCUGAUCCAGCAAUGCCGCGUGCAGGAUGAAGGCCUUCGGGUUGUAAACUGCUUUUGUACGGGAAGAAAAAGCUCCUUCUAAUACAGGGUGCCCAUGACGGUACCGUAAGAAUAAGCACCGGCUAACUACGUGCCAGCAGCCGCGGUAAUACGUAGGUUGCGAGCGUUAACCGGAAUACUGGGCGUAAAGCGUGCGCAGGCGGUUAUGUAAGACAGAUGUGAAAUCCCCGGGCUCAACCUGGGAACGGCGUUGGUGACGGCAUGGCUAGAGUACGGUAGAGGGGGAUGGAAUUCCGCGUGUAGCAGUGAAAUGCUUAGAUAUGCGGAGGAACACCGAUGGCGAAGGCAAUCCCCUGGACCUGUACUGACGCUCAUGCACGAAAGCGUGGGGAGCAAACA